UACAGAGGGGGCAAGCGUUGUUCGGAAUUACUGGGCGUAAAGGGCGCGUAGGCGGCCUGUUAAGUCGAACGUGAAAUCCCUGGGCUCAACCCAGGAACUGCGUCCGAUACUGGCAGGCUUGAAUUCGGGAGAGGGAUGCGGAAUUCCAGGUGUAGCGGUGAAAUGCGUAGAUAUCUGGAGGAACACCGGUGGCGAAGGCGGCAUCCUGGACCGAGAUUGACGCUGAGGCGCGAAAGCUAGGGGAGCAAACGGG
This 253-nucleotide ribosomal RNA is filed under the name uncultured bacterium. RNAcentral describes it as "partial 16S ribosomal RNA". It matches the Rfam family "Bacterial small subunit ribosomal RNA", at positions 524 to 776 of the family's 1533-position model. The record is from RNAcentral.